GAUGAACGCUGGCGGCGUGCCUAAUACAUGCAAGUCGAGCGAACGGACGAGAAGCUUGCUUCUCUGAUGUUAGCGGCGGACGGGUGAGUAACACGUGGAUCACCUACCUAUAAGACUGAGAAAACUUCGGGAAACCGGCGCUAAUACCGGAUGAUAUUUUGCACCGCAUGGUUCAAAAGAGAAAGACGGUCUUGCUGUCACUUAUAGAUGGAUCCGCGCUGCAUUAGCUAGUUGGUAAGGUAACGGCUUACCAAGGCAACGAUGCAUAGCCGACCUGAGAGGGUGAUCGGCCACACGGGAAGGUGGACGCCGUCCUGACGACUACGGGAGGCAGCAGUAGGGAAUCUGACGCAAUGGGCGAGAGCCUGACGGAGCAACGCCGCGUGAGUGAUGAAGGUCCUCGGAUCGUAAAACUCUGUUAUUAGGGAAGAACAUAUGUGUAAGUAACUGUGCACAGCUUGACGGUACCUAAUCAGAAAGCCACGGCUAACUACGUG
RNAcentral lists this ribosomal RNA (497 nucleotides) under uncultured bacterium. RNAcentral's name for it is "partial 16S ribosomal RNA". It matches the Rfam family "Bacterial small subunit ribosomal RNA", at positions 28 to 507 of the family's 1533-position model. The record is from RNAcentral.